This 500-nucleotide ribosomal RNA is filed under the name uncultured bacterium. RNAcentral's name for it is "partial 16S ribosomal RNA". It matches the Rfam family "Bacterial small subunit ribosomal RNA", at positions 30 to 523 of the family's 1533-position model. The record is from RNAcentral.
AUUGAACGCUGGCGGCAGGCCUAACACAUGCAAGUCGAGCGGAUGACGGGAGCUUGCUCCUUGAUUCAGCGGCAGACGGGUGAGUAAUGCCUAGGAAUCUGCCUGGUAGUGGGGGACAACGUUUCGAAAGGAACGCUAAUACCGCAUACGUCCUACGGGAGAAAGCAGGGGACCUUCGGGCCUUGCGCUAUCAGAUGAGCCUAGGUCGGAUUAGCUAGUUGGCGGGGUAAUGGCUCACCAAGGCGACGAUCCGUAACUGGUCUGAGAGGAUGAUCAGUCACACUGGAACUGAGACACGGUCCAGACUCCUACGGGAGGCAGCAGUGGGGAAUAUUGGACAAUGGGCGAAAGCCUGAUCCAGCCAUGCCGCGUGUGUGAAGAAGGUCUUCGGAUUGUAGAGCACUUUAAGUUGGGAGGAAGGGCAGUAAGUUAAUACCUUGCUGUUUUGACGUUACCGACAGAAUAAGCACCGGCUAACUCUGUGCCAGCAGCCGCAGUAA